AAUCAACGCUGGCGGCGUGCCUCAGACAUGCAAGUCGAACGAUUAAACUUUCCUUCGGGAAAGAUAUAAAGUGGCGCACGGGUGAGUAACACGUAAGUAAUCUACCUUUGAGUGGGGAAUAACGUUCGGAAACGGACGCUAAUACCGCAUAAUGCAGCGGCAUCGCAAGAUGACAGUUGUUAAAGAUUUAUCGCUUGAAGAGGAGCUUGCGGCAGAUUAGCUUGNGGUAAGGUAACGGCUUACCAAGGCUACGAUCUGUAUCCGGUCUAAGAGGACGGUCGGACACACUGACACUGAAUAACGGGUCAGACUCCUACGGGAGGCAGCAGUCGGGAAUUUUGGGCAAUGGGGGAAACCCUGACCCAGCAACGCCGCGUGAAGGAUGAAGUAUUUC
This 394-nucleotide ribosomal RNA is filed under the name uncultured bacterium. Its description in RNAcentral is "bacterial SSU rRNA". It matches the Rfam family "Bacterial small subunit ribosomal RNA", at positions 32 to 419 of the family's 1533-position model. The record is from RNAcentral.